ACAGGGAGCUAGUGAGCUGCUCUGAGUCUCCUUUUCAUCUGCCGAAUGAGACGGACAGGAUUCUCCAUGGUCUCCACGAAGCCCUCGCGGUGGCCACCCUUGCCUCUGCUUCCUCGCACUCACCAGCAGACCUGUUGUCUGUACAGAACACAAGACCAGCAUUCAACCUCAUCUCUUUCCACUGUGACUUACCGUGUGCACUAGGUAGACCAGUGUUAUCCCUAACUGCCAUCCCUCCCAGGACCUAAGAAUGUAAACGUAUUGGGAAAUGGGGUCGUUGCAGAUGUAAUCAUUCAAGACCAAGUCACAGUGGAGUAGGGUGGCCCCUUCAUCCAGCAUGACCGAGUCUUUAUAAAAAGAGAAGCCACAGAGAACAUCAUGUGAAGAUGGUGGCCAAGACUGCAGUGAUGGUCUACAAGCCAAGGAGCUCCAAUGGUGCCGGCAAAACUAGAGAGACACCAAAGACCAGGAAGGAGCCUCCCCUGGAGCCUUCAGAGAACCCAGCCCUGCCAGCACCUCAGUUCCAGACUUCCAGCUUCCAGAACCUGGAGAUGGUGACUUUCUGCUGUUUAUGGUGACUCGUUCUGGCAGCACUGGCAUAGGUGGUAUUGGAGUGGCCACGUGGAUGCAGGGAGAGCAGUUGAGUGGGGUUACUUUAGCUUAGACUUAGCGGGUCACCUUCUUGCGGUUCACAUACCUCUUCCUACGGAGUGUAGUUACUGCUAACCAGAGAGGUUGGGAAUGACAGUCCACUGUGCACACUCAGCCUGCUGGUGACAUGGAAGGGCAGGAUUAGAGACAUGCCAUGAUAGUAACACACAUGGGCCACCAGAAGUAAGUGGAGAUGGGGAAGCAAUAUUAGGAAUAGAACAAGAAAGGAAAAAAAUCAAUGAUCUCAUAUGUAAAAUUGCCUAAAAAUUAAUGAACUAAGUCUCAUCAAUAUCUGGUCAAAACAGAAAUUCUCUCAUCAAUAAGAGAGUGAAGGGGCUGGGGUUGUGCUCAGUGGUGGAGCACUUGCCUAGCACGUGUGAAGCACCACAUAAAAUAAAUAAAAUAAGAAUAUUGUGUCCAUCUAUAACUAAAAAAAAAUUAAAAAUAACAGAGUCGAUAAUGCAAUGUUUACCAUUAUAAACACACCAUAAUUUUUUUCUUUUAUGCUUG
This 1161-nucleotide long non-coding RNA is filed under the name Marmota monax (woodchuck). The record is from RNAcentral. Lineage: Eukaryota; Metazoa; Chordata; Mammalia; Rodentia; Sciuridae.